Long non-coding RNA from Folsomia candida, 1613 nucleotides. RefSeq lists it as uncharacterized. Lineage: Eukaryota; Metazoa; Arthropoda; Collembola; Entomobryomorpha; Isotomidae. The record is from RefSeq and is a predicted model, not a curated record. The transcript has 3 exons.
GCUGCAUAAACAUUUCGCACACUCGUCUCCCUCACCUUCAAAGUUUUAUAACUUACCUGUCGUACAAAAUUUACUAUUUCUACAAUACAUUCACUUGGUGACUGACCAUUCCAGAAGGAUGUAGUCCUUCAUUUAUCACCCAUGGAAAUUUCCUUCGCAUUAUAAUGUCUAAAUUUAUCAUUAAAACACAAGCACUUAGGAUACAUAGGAUAAUAUUUGCCAACAAGAGUCUUUUAAGGCAGAAUUUUGUCAUAGUUUAAAUUAUUUCAUCGUAUACUUCAAGCGGAAAUGUGAGGGCAACGUUAUUAAGUAUUUCAUCCAAGAGCAGUACAUAAAUUAUGUAGUUAACCAACUCUGCAAUGUACAUAAAUGAUGUCCUGGAUUUAUAUUCAAUUAACCUCGCCUGCGCCGCCUGCCUUAGGCGAAGAUGGAUACUUCCACUCAUCUAAAUAUACAUAUAUGUAAAUACAUACGUAGAAAACAUGAAAAUUAUUCACAUCAUCAGUUCUAUAAUAUCACCUUCGCCCUCCAUAAUUCUUCUGGCGUAUCGUCUUUCUACCAUCAAAAUUUUAUCUCAAGUAGAAACAAGUAACCUCCCAUCUCUGGUUUUAGACUAAUUUCAUGUGUCUGAUACAAAAUUAAGAUUAACUCUGUAUGUAUUUGCAUCCAUACCGAUUUAUACCAAAAUCUUACCCGGUUAGUAGAAAAUCAGCUUCUAUUAUUUCAAUCGAUCUAAUCAAUUCCCCCAAUUCUCAAAAAGUUAAGCAUAAUUGAAGUGAGAGUUGAGAGUUCUUAUCCUUAUUUUUGUAAUUGCUAUUUUAAUCUAAUGAAACGUAGGUACUAGUUUGGUAAAUACUAGUUUUUUAACCUACAGAAUGAUUUUAAACUUCAUCCGUGUUGUUAGAUCGAGCCCAGUCUAGCAAUAACAUCACGCUUUCGUUACUGUUUUUUAUGGAAUAAUUAUUAUGCAAUCAAUGAUUACCUGUCCACGGAUUAUUUCUUUAACUUUAAGAAUCAAUUCAGCUGCAUUUUAUUUAGGCACGCUUAAUUUACUGGUGGAAAAACUCAUGAAGGAUGCUUACAAUAUGUACCGUAGAAUGAGAGUUGUACACAUAUUCCAAUAAUGGUAUAGGUGGUGUUUUGCUUUCCAAACUUACUACUAUGGAAUAAUAAUAAAUCAUUUUAUCAUUGUAUGGUUCUGGAAGUUUUGAAAUUAGUGAUCCAGUUGAAUCUAGCUCUAGUACUACACAACUUCACAAUUUAUCGUAAAUUUGAUAGCUGCUUAUCUCCAAACAGUAUUGAGUUUCGUGCAUAUUUGAACACACAGAUUGGACAAAUAUUCCAGGUUCUUGAUUCUAAUCUACUAUUAAAUCGCUAUUGUUGUCUCCUUGUUUGAGUGGAUAUAAGUAACUCAAAUUCAUUUGCUGGUCAAACCUCGAGUUUCAUUUGUCUCGAAUAUAAUCAUUAGAUUUUCGGGUUUUAAUUUGUUGUAUUAAUAUGUUAAAAUGUUGGGGACCACAACAAUGUAUGUAUUGUGUUAAACCGGACUAUACUUACCAAAUAAAAAUUUAGCUUAAUAAAAGAGUAAUAAUGCAUGUAUAAUAACAAUAUAA